This 246-nucleotide ribosomal RNA is filed under the name uncultured bacterium. RNAcentral's name for it is "partial 16S ribosomal RNA". It matches the Rfam family "Bacterial small subunit ribosomal RNA", at positions 114 to 354 of the family's 1533-position model. The record is from RNAcentral.
AACGUGGGUAACCUGCCCAAGAGACUGGGAUAACACCUGGAAACAAAUGCUAUUACCGGAUAACAACACUACACGCAUGUCUAGAGUUUAAAAGAUGGUUCUGCUAUCACUCUUGGAUGGACCUGCGGUGCAUUAGCUAGUUGGUAAGGUAACGGCUUACCAAGGCAAUGAUGCAUAGCCGAGUUGAGAGACUGAUCGGCCACAUUGGGACUGAGACACGGCCCAAACUCCUACGGAAGGCAGCAG